AGAAUGAACGUUGGCGGCGUGGAUUAGGCAUGCAAGUCGUACGGGCCGCAAGGCCAGUGGCGUAAGGGUGAGUAAGGCGAAGGUAACCAACCCCAUGGUCGGGUAUAGCCGCGGGAAACUGCGGGUAAUCCCCAGCGACGUCCGGGGGGGGCAUCCCCCCUUGACCAAAGUUCCGGCGCCGUGGGACGGGCCUUCGUGGUAUUAGGUUGUUGGCGGGGUAACGGCCCACCAAGCCGAUGAUGCCUACCGGGCGUGCGAGCGUGGCCCGGCACACUGGGACUGAGACACUGCCCAGACUCCUACGGGAGGCUGCAGUCGAGAAUCUUCGGCAAUGGGCGCAAGCCUGACCGAGCGACGCCGCGUGGAGGACGAAGGCCUUCGGGUUGUAAACUCCUGUCGAGGGGGAAGAAGCCUUAACCGGUUGACUGAUCCCGUGGAGGAAGCACGGGCUAAGUUCGUGCCAGCAGCCGC
RNAcentral lists this ribosomal RNA (471 nucleotides) under uncultured bacterium. RNAcentral's name for it is "SSU rRNA". It matches the Rfam family "Bacterial small subunit ribosomal RNA", at positions 26 to 518 of the family's 1533-position model. The record is from RNAcentral.